Molecule: ribosomal RNA, 492 nt
Filed under: uncultured bacterium
Lineage: Bacteria
Description: partial 16S ribosomal RNA
Rfam family: Bacterial small subunit ribosomal RNA
Source: RNAcentral
AGUGAACGCUGGCGGUAGGCCUAACACAUGCAAGUCGAACGGCAGCACAGUAAGAGCUUGCUCUUACGGGUGGCGAGUGGCGGACGGGUGAGGAAUACAUCGGAAUCUACUUUUUCGUGGGGGAUAACGUAGGGAAACUUACGCUAAUACCGCAUACGACCUACGGGUGAAAGCAGGGGAUCUUCGGACCUUGCGCGAUUGAAUGAGCCGAUGUCGGAUUAGCUAGUUGGCGGGGUAAAGGCCCACCAAGGCGACGAUCCGUAGCUGGUCUGAGAGGAUGAUCAGCCACACUGGAACUGAGACACGGUCCAGACUCCUACGGGAGGCAGCAGUGGGGAAUAUUGGACAAUGGGCGCAAGCCUGAUCCAGCCAUACCGCGUGGGUGAAGAAGGCCUUCGGGUUGUAAAGCCCUUUUGUUGGGCAAGAAAAGCAGCAGGUUAAUACCCCGCUGUUCUGACGGUACCCAAAGAAUAAGCACCGGCUAACUUCGUG